GUAGGGAAUCUUCGGCAAUGGACGGAAGUCUGACCGAGCAACGCCGCGUGAGUGAAGAAGGUUUUCGGAUCGUAAAGCUCUGUUGUUAGAGAAGAACGUUGGUAGGAGUGGAAAAUCUACCAAGUGACGGUAACUAACCAGAAAGGGACGGCUAACUACGUGCCAGCAGCCGCGGUAAUACGUAGGUCCCGAGCGUUGUCCGGAUUUAUUGGGCGUAAAGCGAGCGCAGGCGGUUCUUUAAGUCUGAAGUUAAAGGCAGUGGCUUAACCAUUGUACGCUUUGGAAACUGGAGGACUUGAGUGCAGAAGGGGAGAGUGGAAUUCCAUGUGUAGCGGUGAAAUGCGUAGAUAUAUGGAGGAACACCGGUGGCGAAAGCGGCUCUCUGGUCUGUAACUGACGCUGAGGCUCGAGAGCGUGGGGAGCAAACAGGAUUAGAUACCCUGGUAGUCCACGCCGUAAACGAUGAGUGCUAGGUGUUAGGCCCUUUCCGGGGCUUAGUGCCGCAGCUAACGCAUUAAGCACUCCGCCUGGGGAGUACGACCGCAAGGUUG
This 551-nucleotide ribosomal RNA is filed under the name uncultured bacterium. RNAcentral's name for it is "bacterial SSU rRNA". It matches the Rfam family "Bacterial small subunit ribosomal RNA", at positions 354 to 896 of the family's 1533-position model. The record is from RNAcentral.